This 497-nucleotide ribosomal RNA is filed under the name uncultured bacterium. RNAcentral describes it as "partial 16S ribosomal RNA". It matches the Rfam family "Bacterial small subunit ribosomal RNA", at positions 28 to 507 of the family's 1533-position model. The record is from RNAcentral.
GAUGAACGCUGGCGGCGUGCCUAAUACAUGCAAGUCGAGCGAACAGACGAGGAGCUUGCUCCUCUGACGUUAGCGGCGGACGGGUGAGUAACACGUGGAUAACCUACCUAUAAGACUGGGAUAACUUCGGGAAACCGGAGCUAAUACCGGAUAAUAUAUUGAACCGCAUGGUUCAAUAGUGAAAGACGGUUUUGCUGUCACUUAUAGAUGGAUCCGCGCCGCAUUAGCUAGUUGGUAAGGUAACGGCUUACCAAGGCAACGAUGCGUAGCCGACCUGAGAGGGUGAUCGGCCCCACGGGAACUGGGACACGGUCCAGACUCCUACGGGAGGCAGCAGUAGGGAAUCUUCCGCAAUGGGCGAAAGCUUGACGGAGCAACGCCGCGUGAGGGAUGAAGGUCUUCGGAUUGUAAAACUCUGUUAUUAGGGAAGAACAAAUGUGUAGGUAACUAUGCACGUCUUGACGGUACCUAAUCAGAAAGCCACGGCUAACUACGUG